CGCGGCCUAUCAGCUUGUUGGUGAGGUAAUGGCUCACCAAGGCGACGACGGGUAGCCGGCCUGAGAGGGUGACCGGCCACACUGGGACUGAGACACGGCCCAGACUCCUACGGGAGGCAGCAGUGGGGAAUCUUGCGCAAUGGGCGAAAGCCUGACGCAGCGACGCCGCGUGGGGGAUGACGGCCUUCGGGUUGUAAACCUCUUUCAGUAGGGAAGAAGCGAAAGUGACGGUACCUGCAGAAGAAGCGCCGGCUAACUACGUGCCAGCAGCCGCGGUAAUACGUAGGGCGCAAGCGUUAUCCGGAAUUAUUGGGCGUAAAGAGCUCGUAGGCGGUUUGUCGCGUCUGCCGUGAAAGUCUGGGGCUCAACUCCGGAUCUGCGGUGGGUACGGGCAGGCUAGAGUGAUGUAGGGGAGACUGGAAUUCCUGGUGUAGCGGUGAAAUGCGCAGAUAUCAGGAGGAACACCGGUGGCGAAGGCGGAUCUCUGGGCCUUACCUGACGCUCAGGUGCGAAAGCUAGGGGAGCGAACAGGAUUAGAUACCCUGGUAGUCCUAGCCGUAAACGUUGGGUGCUAGGUGUGGGCGGAUAUCAACCCCGUCCGUGCCGAGGCUAACGCAUUAAGCACCCCGCCUGGGGAGUACGG
RNAcentral lists this ribosomal RNA (643 nucleotides) under uncultured Actinomycetes bacterium. RNAcentral's name for it is "bacterial SSU rRNA". It matches the Rfam family "Bacterial small subunit ribosomal RNA", at positions 232 to 885 of the family's 1533-position model. The record is from RNAcentral. Lineage: Bacteria; Bacillati; Actinomycetota; Actinomycetes.